CAGAGCCCCGCCGGGGCCGAAGGAGCGAGGGAGUUGCAUUGUGGGAAGGGCGCAGCAUGAGGAUGGCCGCGGGAGUGGCAGGUCCGAGCGCAGCCCGGAGAGCCGCGGGCAGCGCCUGGGACUACGGGCAGCGUUGGAGCGGAGGGCUGGCCCUGGGCACAGCCUGCAGAUGGCCCGGGUUGGCGGGAAGGGGACCGAAGUGGCAGGGGCGGCGGGGAGCUCGGGCACCUUUAAAAACCCUUUGUCCCUAACCUGAAGCGGGAGGCACCUCCCCUCUUCCGGAUCCAGCACCCGCAGACCUGGUCAGCCCUUCCUGAGAUCUGCCCUGUGGAGCUCUGCUUUGGGGACUGGGUGUGAGGUGAACCAGAAGGAUUUGCUGAGCACCGAGAAAGCACCGGCCUAGGCGCAAAGAGCCGGGGGCCAGCUCUUGGAGGGCCUGGAGACCCCACGUGGUCCCGACCGAAGGACCUGUGGACAUCCAAAGGUGAUACAGCUGGAAAAAGGAUCUUCAUCCAAGACAAAGAGAAACAAAGUCGAUAGGAAAGUGAUGAAAGGCAUCAAGCAAAGUGAAGAUGCAAAUGAGAAAACAAGAUCAGAAGACAGGAAUAUCUGAAACAAGUCACAAAUGCAUAGUAUGACCUCUCAGGUAAGGACCAGGGCUGGAUCAUCCCAGGAUGUUCAAGGCAUACUCUCAGGGGGCGCUGUGUUAUACUGAGAUCUUGCUAGGCAAAAACAUGGUUUUUGUCUUUUCUGUUGAAAAGGUACCUUUUGGGAGGCCAGGCGCGGUGGCUUACUCCUGUAAUCCCAGCACUUUGGGAGGCUGAGGCGGGCGGAUCACCUGAGGUAGGGAGUUCAAGACCAGCCUGACCAACAUGGAGAAACCCCUUCUCUACUAAAAAUACAAAAUUAGCCAGGUGUGGUGGCACAUGCCUGUAAUGCCAGCUACUUGGGAGGCUGAGGCAGGAGAAUCGUUUAAACUCAGGAGGUGGAGGUGGCGGUGAGCCGAGAUCAUGCCAUUGCACUCCAGCUUGAGCAAAAAGAGCAAAAUUCCGUCUCAAAAAAAAAAAAAAAAAAGAAAGAGAAAGAAAGAAAAAGAAAAGAAAAGGUACCUUUUGGGAAGAAGCAUUAAAAAAAUUUUUUUUUUCCGCUGGCAGUAUUUAGGAAGAAGAAUUCUAUUUAUUACUUCAGUAGAGUAACAUGCUUUACUAAAAUAAGCUUCCAUUCUACAUGGUUUUUUUUUUUUUUUUUUAGACAGAGUCUCACUCUGUUGCCCAGGCUGGAGUGCAGUGGUGCGAUCUCGGCUCACUGCAACCUCUGCCUCCUGGGUUCGAGUGUUUCUCCUGCCUCAGCCUCCCGAGUAGCUGGGACUACAGGAGUACACCACCACACCCGGCUAAUUUUUGUAAUUUUAGUAGAGACGGGGAUUUCACCAUAUUGGUCAGGCUGGUCUCGAACUCCUGACCUCAGGUGAUCCACCUGCCUUGGCCUCCCAAAGUGCUGGGAUUACAGGCAUGAACCACUGCGCCUGGCCCAUGAUUGUUCUUAAAAUAAGAAACACCACAUAAUAUUCAGUGUUCCUUAUUUUGAAGGGCUCUUUAUUUGGUUAUAUUUUAGGCAUAUGAAGCUAUUUCAUAAUCCCAAAAGGGGUAUUUAAUGAGAUUUAGAAUUGAUAGUCUUCUGUUGAUAUAUAUUUAUAGUUAUUUAUACACAUAUUUGUAUGUUCUUAAAAUAAAAUGUUCAAAGUUUUUGAUUCAAAUGUAACAUGUCUAAAAUUGAAAUCAUUGUUUUUUUGUUUUUUUUUUUUCACAACUCAAACCCUCUUCUUUUCCCAUAAACACCAUAUUGGGAAAUGGCACCACCAUGGGCAUAGUUGCUCAAGCUAGAAGGAUGGGGGUAUUUUGGCUCAUCCCCUUCACUCUUCACAUCUAAUUAAUUCCCUCUUUUGAGUAACAUUUACUAAGUGCCAGGCCUUCUGCUAGUCUUUCGUGAAGCUUGGAGUUAGAGUGAGAGACCGAUAUUACUCAAAUGAUCUUGCCAGUGAAUGUACAAGUUACAGGUGGAGAUAAGUGCUCUGCAGAAAGGAGCAUGACUCUUGUGAGAGAAACAGAAGACCAUGUUCUGAACUGGGAAUCAAGGAAGACUUCCCUGAGGACGUGACCCUUGUUUGGACUCUAUUCUGUUUAUGCUAAGGAUUUUAAUAAGGAGCAGGUGAUGGACAUGAUCCAGCGUACAUUUUUAGAGGAAUAUCAUGAGUCCUAUCACUUCAUCUCCUAAAUAUUUCUGACAUCUGUUCUCUUUCCUCCAUCCUCACGACCUUCACUGGCAUGGGCCUCCAACAGCUCACUGUGGGGGAAGUUUCCCUCAAAGGGCACUGAUAACACAUCUUAUUAAAACUAUACCACAUCAUUAUACCUCCCCAACAUAAUAUGUACAUGUAUGUAUUUGACAAUAAUAUAUAUGUAUUACUGUCCUAUUUAUUAUAUACAUUAAAAACAUUCACAAAAAAUUAAAAAUCCAAAUGGUAAGAUUUUACAUUUUUGAUUUGAUAACAAUACUUUAUUAUAUUACUAAACAUAUAUUCCUAAUUGUCACUAAGAUAUUAUCAUGUUAGAGAAAUUUGCUUCACUAUACUAUAUCAUUUUUUUAAAUCUUAGUUUAAUACUCUCUGAUACAGCAAUUCACAAGUCUACUUCCAACUCUGGCUUAUUUUGAUUCUUUCAUGUAAUGGCUGUCAUAGCUGAAAAGGGACCUCACAGAGACCCAAUGGAGGCAGUGUCCUAUUGGCUAUACUUCCCAAAUCAAGCCAUUCAUUUCUCAAUCCCAUUCACUAAUUUACAGAGAUUUACUUAUUUUUCAUUGCUAGUCUGCAAAUGUACACUUAAAUGAAGGUCAUCCUUAAUAAUUAUGAAUGUGAACCCAUGAAACCUACUUCAUAAUUCUGAAUUUGUUUUGACAGAUUCUUUUCCACAGUUAGAGGGCCAUUGCUAUACCUGACAUUGUGGCUGACAAAAGAGCUCUUAUUAGGACUGGAAGUGUCAGUUCUACUUUUUCUUCUUUCUUUAUGCUCAUGUUAUUAUUAUUUUUUAAAUCUGAAGUUUAGAGGAAUCUUUUAACUCUACUUGUCUAUUUGGGAAGACACACUAAACUAGAUAAUAUAAUUUAUAAAUUCCCUCAACUAAGCACACAGAACUGUAAUACAUUGAAAUCUGCCAAAGAGAACAAAUCAGUGAGGGCACGACUGUAUUCCUUUGUGUCUUUUUCAAGACACCUUGAGUACUGUAAGUGACAGGGAGCCAUCUGAUGUACAGGCUGAAGGGGGCCACCAUCAACCUAGUAACCUAAACAGAAGUUCCAAUAUUUUCACCCUGCAGUCCACUUUGUAACCUUUUCUUAGCCUUCCACAAGAGUCUCCUAACUGGACUCCCUCCAUCCACUUCUGGGCACCUAAUGUCUCUACUACAGAUUAGAAAUUACUUUCACAGAAGGCCAUUUCUGAAACCCAAACUAGCUUAUGUGUUACCCUACAUUGAAAUUAUUCAGACGCUGUCUUCCCCAGUAAUCUGCAAGUUUCACAAAGGUAGAUGCCAUGUUCUUAAUGGUUUCCCAGCACAUAGCACAUAACAGAAGCUCAAUAAAUAUUUGUUGAAUGAAUAAAUGAGUAAACAGAAUAUUUUUACAGUUAAAUACCUUUAAUUCUUUUAUUUUUUUUAAAUUUCAAGUCCUUAGAGGAGGAAGAAUUGAAAAAAUAUGAAAUAUCAAAUAUACAUUUAGCUAAAUUUUUAAAGUUUAGUAGGCUAUAUGCAUAAAUCAAAUGAAUAGCAAUAUUUGGAACUGUAACUAUUUUUGGAAUCUUGUAUGAAUAAAUUACAAGUUUAAAACAUCAA
This 3884-nucleotide long non-coding RNA is filed under the name Homo sapiens (human). RNAcentral describes it as "HSALNT0367808". The record is from RNAcentral. Lineage: Eukaryota; Metazoa; Chordata; Mammalia; Primates; Hominidae.